Molecule: ribosomal RNA, 468 nt
Filed under: uncultured bacterium
Lineage: Bacteria
Description: partial 16S ribosomal RNA
Rfam family: Bacterial small subunit ribosomal RNA
Source: RNAcentral
GACGAACGCUGGCGGCGUGCUUAACACAUGCAAGUCGAACGGAAGGGCGCUGCUUUUGUGGGGUGCUCGAUUGGCGAACGGGUGAGUAACACGUGUGUAACCUGUCCUUGUCUUUGUGGUAACUUCAGGAAACUGGGGCUAAUACCGGGUAGGAGCUCCUGAUCCAUGUUGGGGAUUGGUAAGUUUCGGCGGUUGUGGCUGGUCUAGCUGCUUAUCGGCUUGUUGGUGUGGUAGUUGCUUACCAAGGUUUCGACGGGUAGCCGGCCUUAGAGGGGGGACAGCGACAAGGGGACUACGAGACGGCGCAGACGGCUACGGGCGGCAGUGGGGGGAAGUAUGGCGCAAUGGGGGGAAGUGUGUUGCGGCAACGCCGCGAGCGGGAAGACGUCUUUCGGGGGGUAAACAGAUUUGGCAGGUGACGAAGCGAGCGUGACGGUAAUGGGUAAAGAAGCACCGGCUAACUACGUG